AAGAGAAGGUCGCCAUGAGCAGGAAGAGGUGAAACUACAGACGGUGGAAACGGUAGCCUUGCACUCCAUGGAGUCAUGACCCCUCUGCAUGGAGGAAAACGUGAGCCACUGCAGCUGCCGCCCCGCAGCACCCCCUGAACAGGGCCCAGCGUGACAAUCAGGAGGGAGGCACUCGGUGCUCUGGGAAAACCGACAGGACAGGCCUCCAGAGAGUUAGAUUUCAGUCUCUACAGUAGGAACCUACCAUGUCCAGCCACCCAGUACUCGUCACCCCAGCCAGCAGGAAGUAGCUACAGAAGAGAGCACCGUUGCCCCAUCCCUAUAACCAAAGGCUGGAAUAAUAGGUUCCCAGGAAGAUGGAGACAGACCCUGCCGCCCCAUCCCCUGAGUGUGACUGUUCAACUUGGAGACCUGCUGCGGACAUGGUCUGCAGAACUGGAUUGAUCCACAGACACCAGAUGAAUGCUCUGCAAUCAAAAUUUACUAAGACAGUUCUUAUGCAACAAAUACAUACAAACAUGGGAGAUGUU
Sus scrofa (pig) is the source of this 530-nucleotide non-coding RNA. The record is from RefSeq and is a predicted model, not a curated record. Lineage: Eukaryota; Metazoa; Chordata; Mammalia; Artiodactyla; Suidae.